RNAcentral lists this ribosomal RNA (478 nucleotides) under uncultured bacterium. Its description in RNAcentral is "partial 16S ribosomal RNA". It matches the Rfam family "Bacterial small subunit ribosomal RNA", at positions 28 to 507 of the family's 1533-position model. The record is from RNAcentral.
GAUGAACGCUGGCGGCGUGCUUAACACAUGCAAGUCGAACGAGAAGUGAAGACGGAAACCUUCGGGCGGAAGGCUUUAUUUCGAGUGGCGGACGGGUGAGUAACGCGUGGGUAACCUGCCUCAUACAGGGGGAUAACAGUUGGAAACGACUGUUAAUACCGCAUAAGACCACAGCACCGCAUGGUGCGGGGGUAGAAACUCCGGUGGUAUGAGAUGGACCCGCGUUCGAUUAGCCAGUUGGCGGGGUAACGGCCCACCAAAGCGACGAUCGAUAGCCGAUCUGAGAGGAUGACCGGCCACAUUGGGACUGAGACACGGCCCAAACUCCUACGGGAGGCAGCAGUGGGGAAUAUUGCACAAUGGGGGAAACCCUGAUGCAGCGACGCCGCGUGAGUGAAGAAGUAUUUCGGUAUGUAAAGCUCUAUCAGCAGGGAAGAAAAUGACGGUACCUGAGUAAGAAGCCCCGGCUAACUACGUG